ACAGCAGCCGCCGCGGGAAAACGUAGGGUGCGAGCGUUAAUCGGAAUUACUGGGCGUAAAGCGUGCGCAGGCGGUUCGUUAAGACAGAUGUGAAAUCCCCGGGCUUAACCUGGGAACUGCAUUUGUGACUGACGGGCUAGAGUAUGGCAGAGGGGGGUAGAAUUCCACGUGUAGCAGUGAAAUGCGUAGAGAUGUGGAGGAAUACCGAUGGCGAAGGCAGCCCCCUGGGCCAAUACUGACGCUCAUGCACGAAAGCGUGGGGAGCAAACAGGAUUAGAUACCCCGGUGUCCCUGUCUCUUAUACA
This 305-nucleotide ribosomal RNA is filed under the name uncultured bacterium. RNAcentral's name for it is "partial 16S ribosomal RNA". It matches the Rfam family "Bacterial small subunit ribosomal RNA", at positions 508 to 808 of the family's 1533-position model. The record is from RNAcentral.